RNAcentral lists this ribosomal RNA (334 nucleotides) under Ariadna sp. 4 MS-2022b. RNAcentral's name for it is "partial small subunit ribosomal RNA". Lineage: Eukaryota; Metazoa; Arthropoda; Arachnida; Araneae; Segestriidae. The record is from RNAcentral.
GCACAUUUGCUUUCUUGUUCAUAGUUGAGUAUUAUUCAAUAAUUGAAUUCAAAUCCUUUUUUGGGCUUUAAGGGCGAGUUCUAAAGCAGGCCUUAAAUAGUGUUUAUAGUAACUCAUUCUGCCUUUCUUAUGGACUACACCUUGACCUGAUUUGUUAGGGGGGCCUGCUGAGAAUGUGUUUUAUGGAGUCAUUCUUAAAACGGCGGUAUAUAGGCUUUUAAAGAAAGCGAGAUUUAGCGGGGAUUGUCGAUUAUAGAACAAGUUCCUCUGAUUAGGGCUAAGGCCGCCAAACUACAUUGGUUUUUCUAGGUGAUACUACCUGAUGGGAAAGAUA